Long non-coding RNA from Oncorhynchus tshawytscha (Chinook salmon), 754 nucleotides. The record is from Ensembl. Lineage: Eukaryota; Metazoa; Chordata; Actinopteri; Salmoniformes; Salmonidae.
CUGGACCAAGGUGCAGCAUGGCACACUGUCUUUAUACGAUCAGCCAUGGAUACCACCAGACACCCAAAGUCCAUUUCUUAGUUCCUGUGACCUCUUGUAAGCGCCGUUGAUUUCCUGAUGUCUUGAUAGCAUUUGAUCAACAUGUCCUUGAGAAGUGUAACCCUGCUUGGAAAGAAGGUGCAACACCCAUGUGUCCUGAUUCAACCGACCCUUGGUCCACAGACGACGCAAUCGCAACCACACUGCACACUGCCCUAACCCAUCUGGACAAGAGGAAUACCUAUGUGAGAAUGUUGUUCAUCAACUACAGCUCAGCAUUUAACACCAUAGUACCCUCAACUCGUCAUCAAGCUCGAGACCCUGGGUCUCGACCCCCGCCCUGUGCAACUGGGUACUGGACUUCCAGACGGGCCGCCCCCAGGUGGUGAGGGUAGGUAAAUACAUCUCCACCCCGCUGAUCCUCAACACUGGGGCCCCACAAGGGUGCGUUCUGAGCCCUCUCCUGUACUCCCUGUUCACCCAGGACACCUACACCACCCAAUGUCACAGGAAGGCCUUAAAGAUCAUCAAGGACAACAUCCACCCGAGCAACUGCCUGCUCACCCUGCUGUCAUCCAGAAGGUGAGGUCAGUACAGGUGCAUCAAAGCAGGGACCGAGAGACUGAAACAGCUUCUAUCUCAAGGCCAUCAGACUGUUAAACAGCCACCACUAACAUUGAGUGGCUGCUGCCAACAUACUGACUCAACUCCAGGC